AAAUUAGUUUUCUACUUUACUUAUGUGUAUGUUUAUCUGCUUUUAUUUUAAUAGUUUUCAUUUUGGUUCUGUUUUGAUUUAUUUACAGACAUCCCGGUGGCGAAUUUCAAGUUUUAGGAGGGGCACGGGUAGCCGCCAAAGGGAGCUGAAGCCACUGAGGAGAAUGAAGAAAUUGCCAAGGAGGAAAAAGACAGAAGGGCAAUCUAUUGGGUGUGUGUUGGGGGCUGAGACAACGUCUAGAGAUUGAUGUUUUUACUGCAUGUAGGAGACACAAGGUAAAAAAGAACAGCUUUAUAUUUCCAUCUGCCUUACCUCAGUAUGCCGGUGCUGACAUGACAUGCCACACACUUUGGCGCCCAUCUUGAAACUCCUGUACAAGAAAAGAAAGGGCUAAGGAACAUCGCUGUGGAACAUUGUCCCCUAACUAAACCGUGGAUUUGUGGGCAAUCCGGCCUAAACGCUAGAAGUACAGAAGCAGAAGGCAGUUUCCAGAGAUAAUUGCGGAGCCAAUCAUGUGUUUUACGUACAGAAUUCUACAGGAGUGUUCGUGUGGGAAGUGUUCAGCAAGGGCAAGAUACAAUCUGAACAUUUUUUCAACUCCGUGGCUGUGGAUAAAAUCUCAGCUGGACGGAGGCUCUUCAAAACCAAGAAGUCUUCCGAAAGCGUGUACAUGCUAAUGAACAACUGCUGGUAAGAGGUACGAGGGAUAAGAUUUAUGUACAACUUUAACAUAAAGAAAAAAACAGUUGGAUAUUCUGGUCCAAUAUAGAAAACUACUGUCAGAAUGAUUAUAUCUAUAUUCUAAUAUCUAUGCCUAUGCGAUUACAA
Molecule: long non-coding RNA, 828 nt
Organism: Xenopus laevis (African clawed frog)
Lineage: Eukaryota; Metazoa; Chordata; Amphibia; Anura; Pipidae
Exons: 5
Source: RefSeq, a predicted model, not a curated record